GAUGAACGCUGGCGGCGUGCCUAAUACAUGCAAGUCGAGCGAACAGACGAGGAGCUUGCUCCUCUGACGUUAGCGGCGGACGGGUGAGUAACACGUGGAUAACCUACCUAUAAGACUGGGAUAACUUCGGGAAACCGGAGCUAAUACCGGAUAAUAUAUUGAACCGCAUGGUUCAAUAGUGAAAGACGGUUUUGCUGUCACUUAUAGAUGGAUCCGCGCCGCAUUAGCUAGUUGGUAAGGUAACGGCUUACCAAGGCAACGAUGCGUAGCCGACCUGAGAGCAUGAUCGGCCACCCUGGCACUGAGACACGCUCCAGACUCCUACGGGAGGCAGCAGUAGGGACUCUUCCGCAAUGGGCGAAAGCCUGACGGAGCACCGCCACGUGAGUGAUGAAGGUCUUCGGCUCGUAAAACUCUGUUAUUAGGGAAGAACAAAUGUGUAAGUAACUAUGCACGUCUUGACGGUACCUAAUCAGAAAGCCACGGCUAACUACGUG
RNAcentral lists this ribosomal RNA (497 nucleotides) under uncultured bacterium. Its description in RNAcentral is "partial 16S ribosomal RNA". It matches the Rfam family "Bacterial small subunit ribosomal RNA", at positions 28 to 507 of the family's 1533-position model. The record is from RNAcentral.